GCCUUCUCUCUGCUCGGGACCAACGGGUCCAACCAUCCAUCGGGUGGCGGCAGCGGCGGCGGCGGGGACUGUCCCGGCGGCAAAAGCAAGAGCCUCAACUGCUCAGAAUUAAAUGUGAGGGAGUCUGAUGUAAGAGUUUGUGAUGAAUCAUCCUGUAAAUACGGAGGAGUCUGUAAAGAAGAUGGAGAUAGUUUGAAAUGUGCAUGCCAGUUUCAGUUUGUCUUGGUCCCUUCCGUUCUUAUUUGUUGCUGUCUCAUUUCUUUAGGCCAAAGAACUUGACUGACUUGAAGCCUCAGGUGUCAUACAAAUUACAUUCCUGUUUGUGGAUCAAAUGGGGACACUUAUCAAAAUGAAUGCUUUCUUAGAAGGGCUGCUUGUAAGCACCAGAAAGAGAUAACAGUGGUAGCAAGAGGACCAUGCUACUCUGAUAACGGCUCUGGAUCUGGAGAAGGAGGAUGACCGGUAAGGGGAUCUUAACCCUUGACUUCGUGUUGUCAGCACCACACUCGCCCAACAUUCAAGAAUGACCAAAGAAAGAAAAUGCCAAGAUGAUUUCCAAAAAGUAAUACUAAAUUUGGUAAAAAGAAGCCCAAGUUAGAAAAUGCUACUGCAACAAACUUUAAAACAAAGACAAUACAUCUGCCUGAGCAACUCAGAGAAUGGAACACUUCCAACAAACAAUAGGAAACUUAACAUAAAGGAUCUGCUGUCACAGAUGCAUCACUACAAUGCUGGGGUUAAACAAAGUGCUCUUCUUGGACUUAAAGACCUUUUGUCUCAGUACCCA
This is a long non-coding RNA of Cynocephalus volans (Philippine flying lemur), 787 nucleotides long. RefSeq lists it as uncharacterized. The transcript is spliced from 8 exons. Lineage: Eukaryota; Metazoa; Chordata; Mammalia; Dermoptera; Cynocephalidae. The record is from RefSeq and is a predicted model, not a curated record.